GCCGUCGUAGACCAACGAAGAGUCGGCAGCCUUGGAAGCUGCAUAGUGGAGGUUCGAGUCCUCCAGGCGGCA
This 72-nucleotide transfer RNA is filed under the name Myxococcales bacterium. Its description in RNAcentral is "tRNA-Pro". It matches the Rfam family "tRNA". Rfam says of the family: Transfer RNA (tRNA) molecules are approximately 80 nucleotides in length. Their secondary structure includes four short double-helical elements and three loops (D, anti-codon, and T loops). The record is from RNAcentral. Lineage: Bacteria; Pseudomonadati; Myxococcota; Myxococcia; Myxococcales.